CAGGAGGGGAGGUGCAGGAGGGGCUGCAGGAGGGGCUGCAGGAGGGGCUGCAGGAGCAACAGCGGUAGUGGUAGGACCCCUGUGCCCUGCAACCUGGAGGCAGCCUACUGUGCUGCCCUCACCCUCUCACAGUCAAGCGGGACCCACUCCCAGGCCCAGAGCCUCCGCUGCUCGGGGAUCGGGACCCGGGCCCUGCGGCCACUGCUGGGAGGGUGUGGAGAAUAGGCGGACAAUCACCAGAGCCUGCACCGAGGACUGCCGCGAUGGGACCAGGCUGAGUCUGGCGGGGAAGCAGAGCAUUCAGGAAGAGAGGGGAAGGCAGAGAGAGGCCCCAGGACAAGAACUCAGGACCUGCUGCAUGGCGAGGCUGAAAGACCUGUAGCACAAUCAGGCCUGAAACAUGCACCUUGCUCACCAUGUCGCAGGCAAAGUGGAGAGAAGAGCUGCAGCCCUUCAGGCAUCCCAGACCUAGGAGCUCCCCAAGCCAGGGGUGUGACUCCCUUUUAGGAGCCUUGUGGUUCUUGCCAUCACCAAACUUCCAGGUGCCACCACAUUCACUGGUGCCAGCUGGGGAAGCUGCUUGUGGUGUGUCUUGUCCAGCUGUAGCCUUGUAGAGAGCUGGAGCCCACGCCAGCACCUGGAGCUGCCCACCCAUGGCAGCAGCAGGCAUGCCUGACUGUGUGCAGUGGCUGGACCCCAUGCUCCUCACACACCCCAUGCUGCUCCAUGCCUGACUUGCCCUUGGAGGUGUGGGAUCCAGGCUUGUAGGCUGAACCAGGCCGAGUAGGCAGAUUGAGCCCAGUGGGCCCAAGCAAAAGUCAAGCAAAGGUGCCACCAACAACAGAAGUUUCUGGCCAGAAAAGCAACACCCCAGGGGUCCUGUAACACUAUGACUUUAGCCUUUACUACCUACCUGUAGCCCCGUUACCCACUCCACAUCUUCCAUGUACAUUCACUGAAUUUCUGUGGCUCUAUAAACAUAACAUGUUGUUGUUUUUCCUCCUGGACUUCACUUACAUAUUUUAGUGGGUGCUAUGAAUUUACUGCAUAUCAUGUCUUAAAUAAUAAUAACCAAAUUUUGUAGUUCUUACUCUAUACCUAACCCUGUUCUAAGCAACAUGCAUGUGUAAAUGCUUUAAAUCUAACAGCAGGCCUAUGAAAGAUGGCCCAUUAUCCCCACUUUACACAUAAGGGGACUGAGGCACAUAUUUUCUAAUUAGCUUAAACAAACCCUGCUAGUGAACUGGGAACUGUAACAUAAACCCAGGCAGUCUGGCUGGAGAUUUCAGGCUGUUAAACAUUUUUAAUUGCUUAGUUUUACUCAUUACUCUAAAACUAAACUUAGAAUCCUCAUCUUCCAGAAUAUCUUUCAUUAUCUGCAAGAUAAAGUUAGGUGCAUUUUCUCUCUAUUAUAGUCUUCACAUAUUGAAUUUGAUUUUCACUAAAAUUAAGCUGUUAGACUUAUAGGUUGUAUUGGAGAUGACAUCAAAUCUGUUUUAUCCAUAUAACACAACUAUCUACAAGGUUCCAAGUAUAUAAAAUACUUGAUAAAUAUUUGUUAAAUAGAAAAUCCUUACUGUUUAUAUAAAACACAUUUGUGUAACAAUUUUUAAAUACUAUAUGUUACUCGUCAGAGUUUCUUGCUUAGUAGUUUUAUUUCCUUGAGCCAAAUUUCUCCUGUGUAAAAAAUGAGAAUAAAAUGAGACCCACCUCACAAUACUGUGUUGAGAAACAAUAGGUAAUAAAAGUGUUUAUCACAAGAGAAGCAUUAAACUAACAUAUUGGCUGUGCUUAGUUUAUUCUUAUUCUCAGCAAUUUUUAGUCCUGGAUAUCAAUUAUAAGAUUAAAGCUUUUAACUAUAAAAAUGUUCCCAUAUUGAUUUCAGUGUACUCAGU
RNAcentral lists this long non-coding RNA (1895 nucleotides) under Homo sapiens (human). RNAcentral describes it as "HSALNT0072790". Lineage: Eukaryota; Metazoa; Chordata; Mammalia; Primates; Hominidae. The record is from RNAcentral.